RNAcentral lists this ribosomal RNA (1371 nucleotides) under Staphylococcus aureus. RNAcentral's name for it is "bacterial SSU rRNA". It matches the Rfam family "Bacterial small subunit ribosomal RNA", at positions 1 to 1353 of the family's 1533-position model. Lineage: Bacteria; Bacillati; Bacillota; Bacilli; Caryophanales; Staphylococcaceae. The record is from RNAcentral.
UUUAUGGAGAGUUUGAUCCUGGCUCAGGAUGAACGCUGGCGGCGUGCCUAAUACAUGCAAGUCGAGCGAACGGACGAGAAGCUUGCUUCUCUGAUGUUAGCGGCGGACGGGUGAGUAACACGUGGAUAACCUACCUAUAAGACUGGGAUAACUUCGGGAAACCGGAGCUAAUACCGGAUAAUAUUUUGAACCGCAUGGUUCAAAAGUGAAAGACGGUCUUGCUGUCACUUAUAGAUGGAUCCGCGCUGCAUUAGCUAGUUGGUAAGGUAACGGCUUACCAAGGCAACGAUGCAUAGCCGACCUGAGAGGGUGAUCGGCCACACUGGAACUGAGACACGGUCCAGACUCCUACGGGAGGCAGCAGUAGGGAAUCUUCCGCAAUGGGCGAAAGCCUGACGGAGCAACGCCGCGUGAGUGAUGAAGGUCUUCGGAUCGUAAAACUCUGUUAUUAGGGAAGAACAUAUGUGUAAGUAACUGUGCACAUCUUGACGGUACCUAAUCAGAAAGCCACGGCUAACUACGUGCCAGCAGCCGCGGUAAUACGUAGGUGGCAAGCGUUAUCCGGAAUUAUUGGGCGUAAAGCGCGCGUAGGCGGUUUUUUAAGUCUGAUGUGAAAGCCCACGGCUCAACCGUGGAGGGUCAUUGGAAACUGGAAAACUUGAGUGCAGAAGAGGAAAGUGGAAUUCCAUGUGUAGCGGUGAAAUGCGCAGAGAUAUGGAGGAACACCAGUGGCGAAGGCGACUUUCUGGUCUGUAACUGACGCUGAUGUGCGAAAGCGUGGGGAUCAAACAGGAUUAGAUACCCUGGUAGUCCACGCCGUAAACGAUGAGUGCUAAGUGUUAGGGGGUUUCCGCCCCUUAGUGCUGCAGCUAACGCAUUAAGCACUCCGCCUGGGGAGUACGACCGCAAGGUUGAAACUCAAAGGAAUUGACGGGGACCCGCACAAGCGGUGGAGCAUGUGGUUUAAUUCGAAGCAACGCGAAGAACCUUACCAAAUCUUGACAUCCUUUGACAACUCUAGAGAUAGAGCCUUCCCCUUCGGGGGACAAAGUGACAGGUGGUGCAUGGUUGUCGUCAGCUCGUGUCGUGAGAUGUUGGGUUAAGUCCCGCAACGAGCGCAACCCUUAAGCUUAGUUGCCAUCAUUAAGUUGGGCACUCUAAGUUGACUGCCGGUGACAAACCGGAGGAAGGUGGGGAUGACGUCAAAUCAUCAUGCCCCUUAUGAUUUGGGCUACACACGUGCUACAAUGGACAAUACAAAGGGCAGCGAAACCGCGAGGUCAAGCAAAUCCCAUAAAGUUGUUCUCAGUUCGGAUUGUAGUCUGCAACUCGACUACAUGAAGCUGGAAUCGCUAGUAAUCGUAGAUCAGC